This 1777-nucleotide ribosomal RNA is filed under the name Meloidogyne incognita (southern root-knot nematode). RNAcentral describes it as "SSU rRNA". It matches the Rfam family "Eukaryotic small subunit ribosomal RNA". The record is from RNAcentral. Lineage: Eukaryota; Metazoa; Nematoda; Chromadorea; Rhabditida; Meloidogynidae.
UCUGGUUGAUCCUGCCUGAACUGAUGUGUUCAUUUCAAAGAUUAAGCCAUGCAUGUAUAAGUUUAAUCGUUUUACGAGAAACCGCGAACGGCUCAUUACAAUGGCCAUGAUUUACUUGAUCUUGAUUAUCUAAAUGGAUAACUGUGGAAAAGCUAGAGCUAAUACAUGCACCAAAGCUUUGUCCUCUCGGAAAAGCGCAUUUAUUAGAACAAAACCACGCGGCUUCGGCUGCUUCUUGUUGACUCAGAAUAACUAAGCUGACCGCAUGGCCUUGUGCCGGCGGCGUGUCUUUCAAGCGUCCACUUUAUCAACUUGACGGGAGCAUAAUCGACUCCCGUGGUGGUGACGGAUAACGGAGGAUCAGGGUUCGACUCCGGAGAAGGGGCCUGAGAAAUGGCCACUACGUCUAAGGAUGGCAGCAGGCGCGCAAAUUACCCACUCUCGGCUCGAGGAGGUAGUGACGAGAAAUAACGAGAUCGUUCUCUUUGAGGCCGGUCAUCGGAAUGGGUACAAUUUAAACCCUUUAACGAGUAUCAAGCAGAGGGCAAGUCUGGUGCCAGCAGCCGCGGUAAUUCCAGCUCUGCUAAUACAUAGAAUUAUUGCUGCGGUUAAAAAGCUCGUAGUUGGAUUCGUAUCGGUACCCUGGAACCCUCCGGGUGUUUCUGGGUGUUAUCGAUUUAUCGUAAUGUUCGGUUUUGAGUCCUUAACAGGAUUCUUAACAGGCAUUGCAAGUUUACUUUGAACAAAUCAGAGUGCUUCAAACAGGCGUUUUCGCUUGAAUGAUCGUGCAUGGAAUAAUAGAAAACGAUUUCGGUUCAGUUUUAUUGGUUUUACGGACUGAGAUAAUGGUUAACAGAGACAAACGGGGGCAUUUGUAUGGCCCCGUGAGAGGUGAAAUUCUUGGACCGUGGCCAGACAAACUACAGCGAAAGCAUUUGCCAAGAAUGUCUUCAUUAAUCAAGAACGAAAGUCAGAGGUUCGAAGGCGAUCAGAUACCGCCCUAGUUCUGACCGUAAACGAUGCCAACUAGCGAUCCGCCGAUGGAAAUUAUAUUGCCUUGGUGGGGAGCUUCCCGGAAACGAAAGUCUUCCGGUUCCGGGGGAAGUAUGGUUGCAAAGCUGAAACUUAAAGGAAUUGACGGAAGGGCACCACCAGGAGUGGAGCCUGCGGCUUAAUUUGACUCAACACGGGGAAACUCACCCGGCCCGGACACUGUGAGGAUUGACAGAUUGAUAGCUUUUUCAUGAUUCAGUGGAUGGUGGUGCAUGGCCGUUCUUAGUUCGUGGAGUGAUUUGUCUGGUUUAUUCCGAUAACGAGCGAGACUCUAACCUACUAAAUAGCUGGUACAUAAUUUAAGUGUAUACAGCUUCUUAGAGGGAUUUGCGGUGUUCAGCCGAAAGAAAUUGAGCAAUAACAGGUCUGUGAUGCCCUUAGAUGUCCGGGGCUGCACGCGCGCUACACUGGCAAAAUCAACGUGCUUGUCCUACCCCGAAAGGGGCGGGUAAACCAUUGAAAAUUUGCCGUGAUUGGGAUCGGAAAUUGCAAUUAUUUUCCUUGAACGAGGAAUUCCAAGUAAGUGCGAGUCAUCAGCUCGCGUUGAUUACGUCCCUGCCCUUUGUACACACCGCCCGUCGCUGCCCGGGACUGAGCCAUUUCGAGAAAUUUGGGGACCGUUGAUUUAAUUUUUCUAAAUUACUUUGAUGGAAACCAAUUUAAUCGCAGUGGCUUGAACCGGGCAAAAGUCGUAACAAGGUAGCUGUAGGUGAACCUGCUGCUG